Molecule: long non-coding RNA, 1538 nt
Filed under: Zonotrichia albicollis (white-throated sparrow)
Lineage: Eukaryota; Metazoa; Chordata; Aves; Passeriformes; Passerellidae
Description: lncRNA (ENSZALG00000005356.1)
Source: RNAcentral
UGCCCACAGAAACAAACUAAACCUGACAGGACCCAUUCCCUGGAAUUUCACCUGCUCCGGCUCCUCUUUGCAGGAAAUGGGAAGGGGGGGACCCGGGCGUGGCCAACCAGAAGACCCCCACCAGCCUCCUGCUGACCCCGGAGGGGACAUUCCACAGCUUCGGCUACACCGCCCGCGAUUACUACCACGACCUGGACCCCGAGGAGGCCCGCGAGUGGUUCUACUUCGAGAAGUUCAAGAUGAAGAUCCACAGCACCAGCGAUCUGACCAUGAAAACCGAGCUGGAAGCUGUCAACGGGAAGAAGAUGCCGGCGCUGGAGGUGUUCGCCCACGCGCUGCGCUUCUUCAAGCAGCACGCCGUGCAGGUGGGGCCACCUCCAUCCCUCCUCCUCCUCCUUCCCAAAUGGAAUCCUCUCUGUCCUCUCCAUGCCUUCCAUGGGAGAGUGGGGAGGCCCUGGAAUGGAAUUCCCAGAUUUGCUGUGGCUGCCCUGUCCCUGGAAGUGUCCAAGACCAGGUUGGACAAUGGGGCUUGGAGUGACCUGGGAUAGUGGGAGGUGUCCCUGGAUGGGAUUUAAGGUCCCUCCCAACCCAACCCAUUCCGUGAAUCACCAGGACCCCCCAGGGGUCACAUCCUGCCAGGGGCACCCGAGCUGGGAAAGAACUUUCAUGGCCCCAAAAUGGUCAGAAGUUGGCUUGGUGGGAGAUGGUUCCUGACAGCAGCGGGAGGAAUGUGUGGGGUGAGGAUAUUCCAAGGGAUGGAGCGGAGGCAGGCUGGGAGAGCUGGGAAUGCUCCUCUGGAGAAGGGAAAAAUCCCCAGGUGUCACCUCCUGCUUGUCUCCUGGCAGGAGCUGAAGGACCAGUGCCCGUCCCUGCCUGAGAGCGACGCCAUCCGCUGGGUGCUCACCGUGCCGGCCAUCUGGAAGCAGCCGGCCAAGCAGUUCAUGCGGGAAGCAGCCUACAAGGUGGGGGACACUGGAGGGUGACCACGUGGUGACCCUCACGGGGAUUGUGGUGUCCAGGGUAUCCCCUUCUCCCCUCUGAAUUCCCACUGCCAGAGGGUAGCAUUAGGUGGGAUAUCGGGAGGGAAUUCCUGGUUGGGAGGUGGGGAGGGGCUGGGAUAGAAUUCCCAGAGAAGCUGUGGCUGCCCCUGGAUCCCUGGAAGCGUCCAAGGCCAGGUUGGAUGAAUUUGGAUCCACCUGGGAUAGUGGGAGCUUUCCCUGCCCAUGGAUAAGGUGGGAGUAGGAUAGGAUUUAAGGUUCUUUCCACCCAAACCCAAGGGAUUUAAGGUCCUUCCAACCCAAAAGUUGUUGGGUGAGAGGGUGGAUAAUUUUCCAGGUAGGUGGUUAAGAGGAUGAUUGGGUGGUUGGUUGAAUUUUUCAGUGGUUGGUGGUUGGUUUGGUGCUCAGGGUCAUUGCUUGAGCAGUUGUCUGUUUGAGUGGUUAGGUUGUUGGUCGAUGUCUCAGUUCAGCAGUUGGUUGGUUGAGUGGUUGGGUGGGUUGUUGGUUCGGAGGUUGGUUAGGUGGCUGCUUGAGCAGUUU